RNAcentral lists this ribosomal RNA (534 nucleotides) under uncultured bacterium. RNAcentral's name for it is "bacterial SSU rRNA". It matches the Rfam family "Bacterial small subunit ribosomal RNA", at positions 365 to 908 of the family's 1533-position model. The record is from RNAcentral.
UCGGCAAUGGGCGAAAGCCUGACCGAGCGACGCCGCGUGUGCGAUGAAGGCCCUUCGGGUUGUAAGGCACUGUCGAGAGGAAACAAGCCGCAAGGUUGAGUGACCUCUGGAGGAAGCACGGGCUAAGUUCGUGCCAGCAGCCGCGGUAAGACGAACCGUGCGAACGUUGUUCGGAAUCACUGGGCUUAAAGGGUGCGUAGGCGGAAUGGCAAGUCGGAGGUGAAAGCCCCCAGCUUAACUGGGGAAGUGCCCUCGAUACUGCUGUUCUCGAGAGAGGUAGGGGCGUGUGGAACUUCCGGUGGAGCGGUGAAAUGCGUAGAUAUCGGAAGGAACGCCGGUGGCGAAAGCGAUGCGCUGGACCUUUUCUGACGCUGAGGCACGAAAGCUAGGGGAGCGAACGGGAUUAGAUACCCCGGUAGUCCUAGCCCUAAACGAUGGGUACUGGGUUGCGGGUCAGACAUGGACUCGCAGCCGAAGCAAAAGUGGUAAGUACCCCGCCUGGGGAGUAUGGUCGCAAGGCUGAAACUCAAAGGA